RNAcentral lists this transfer RNA (74 nucleotides) under Bacteroidota bacterium. RNAcentral's name for it is "Bacteroidetes bacterium (activated sludge metagenome) tRNA-Met". It matches the Rfam family "tRNA". From Rfam's summary of the family: Transfer RNA (tRNA) molecules are approximately 80 nucleotides in length. Their secondary structure includes four short double-helical elements and three loops (D, anti-codon, and T loops). Lineage: Bacteria; Pseudomonadati; Bacteroidota. The record is from RNAcentral.
GCCGAAGUAGCUCAGUCGGUUAGAGCAAUGGAAUCAUAAUCCAUGUGUCGGGGGUUCGAAUCCCUCCUUCGGUA